Molecule: non-coding RNA, 2287 nt
Organism: Coffea arabica (coffee)
Lineage: Eukaryota; Viridiplantae; Streptophyta; Magnoliopsida; Gentianales; Rubiaceae
Source: RefSeq, a predicted model, not a curated record
CAGCAGGAUGGGAAAGUUAAAAAGUGGGGUGGGACUAUUGACAUUUCAGCUUUCCUGAAAGUGCCAAAUUCCAAUUCCUUGAUGAGAGUUGGCGCCAGAGGAAGGGAGAAAAGAUGCACGUAAUGAUGGAGCAACUGGUGAGCAUGGGGUUCCCCAACUCUCUGGCUGCUGAAGCUCUAAAGGCCGCCGGCGGCGACAUCGUCAAGGCCACCGACUGGAUUCUCAGCCGCAGCCAAACAACACCCAGUCCUCCUCAUCGUCAUACUGCUGAUACUGCAACUGCUUUACAAGCCCCUCAAAUUCACCAUGAUAAUAGCCCUUCUCCUCCUCCUCCUCUUUCUCCUGCUGCUGCCUCCUCCAAUUUCCAGCCCAAAAUCGAUCGCUUCUUUCACUUCCGUUGCAAAACUCAAACCCCAACGCCCGCUACUUCUUCUAAAUCCCAACUAUGCAAGGAGGAGGUGCAGCAGCAGCAGCAUGAUCAUGCUGAUGAAGACGUUCUUGAUGAUGAUGACCAUCACUUACAGGGAGGGAAGAGGCCUAGGCUAAGCAGCUCCCCGCAAGAACGCGAUAAUUAUGCUAGUAAACAACAGCCCUCCUCCUCGCCGGUGGCAUUUCCACGUGAACCCUUGUCGGAGCUGAUGAGGCCAUCCACCCUUGACCAAGUGGUUGGCCAAGAACACCUUCUGGGCCCCAAUUCCGCCCUCCGCUCCGCCAUUCGACAUAGCCGCCUCCCUUCUAUUGUCCUCUGGGGACCACCCGGCACCGGCAAGACCUCCAUCGCCAGAGCCAUUGUCAGUUCUUGCUCUGAUGUCUACCGUUUUGUUCCCUUUUCAGCCGUGAAUUCGGGGGUCAAGGAGGUCAGAGACGCGGUGGAGGAGGCUAGAAAGUGGAAAUCAAAAAACUCCAAGAUCGAUAACAAUAGGAGGAUGAGGACUGUUCUUUUCAUUGACGAGGUUCACAGGUUCAACAAGGCACAACAGGACUCUCUCCUACCGGUGAUUGAGGAUGGCAGCAUUGUUUUCAUAGGUGCCACCACUGAGAACCCAUCUUUCCAUUUGAUUACUCCAUUGUUGUCCCGUUGCACUGUGCUUGUCCUCAAUCCCCUCAAACCCCACCACAUUGCCACUCUCCUAAAGCGGGCCAUUUCGGAUUCCGAUAAGGGACUCUCAUCGUUCUCGAAAGUUCAAGUAGAGGAUGAAGCCAUUGAGUUCCUGGCAGCUCAUUGUGACGGAGAUGCAAGGGUGGCAUUGAACAAAUUGGAACUUUCGGCUACUACUGCAGCUACAGAGCGCUUUCAUCAGAAAAAAGGACGUGGAGGAGGAGAAGGAUCGUUGGAUUCAGAUGUGCUUUCGAUCACUGUAAGUCAUGUCAAAGAGGCAAUGCAGUCUAAGCAUAUAGCUUAUGACAGGGACGGUGAAGAGCAUUACAACCUCAUCAGUGCGCUCCACAAGUCCAUGAGAGGGAGUGAUGCUGAUGCGUCAAUCUAUUGGUUGGCCAGGAUGCUGGAAGGAGGAGAACAGCCCCUGUACAUUGCACGUCGCCUCAUCAGAUUUGCCAGUGAAGAUGUAGGCUUGGCUGAUCCAUCUGCCCUUACUCAGGCUGUUGCUUGCUACCAAGCUUGUCACUUUAUUGGCAUGCCAGAGUGCAAUGUGGUUCUAGCGCAAUGCGUUGCCUACUUGGCUCUGGCUCCUAAAUCAAUUUCCGUCUACAGAGCAAUUCAAGAUGCACAGAAGGUAGCACGAGACUCUGUUGGGCAGAAUGAGGGGGUGCCGCUUCACCUAAGGAAUGCACCGACGAAGCUAAUGAAGGAGAUUGGAUAUGGGAAAGGCUAUGUCUAUCCUCCUGACAAUCCUAAAGCUUCAUCUCAGACCUAUAUGCCACCAUCACUUCAAGGUUAUAAAUUCCUUCACUGGCCAAAUGCUCCAGGGGCUGAUUGAUAUCAUGCGUUGGGUCUGCCACUAUAUUAUUCUUUCUUUGUGAGUUGGUUAGCACCUUAAUAUGGACUCAGUUGCACCAGUGUCGCAGUCAAGAUCCAAAAGGUUUUAGGCGUAUGAAAAGAUUUGCUGUUGCUGCUGAACAUAGUGAAUUUGCAAGACAUCAAUACUAGGUCUGGUGGUUCUCUGAACUUGUUUUGUGGUUGAAGUUCCACUGUUUUUCUGUUUUCUUUUCCUCCCCAUUUUGAAUUUUGUUGUGACAAGGUGAAGGAUGGAUGUAACAAAGAUUGAAGAUAUCAUCUUACAGCUUACCUGCGAGCAUUUGUUACUUGAAACUUGGAAAUUAUUCUGAG